CAGUCGCCGCGGUAAAACGAAGGGUGCAAGCGUUAAUCGGAAUUACUGGGCGUAAAGCGUGCGUAGGCGGUGAGUUAAGUCUGCUGUGAAAUCCCCGGGCUCAACCUGGGAAUGGCAGUGGAUACUGGCUCGCUAGAGUGUGUCAGAGGAUGGUGGAAUUCCCGGUGUAGCGGUGAAAUGCGUAGAGAUCGGGAGGAACAUCAGUGGCGAAGGCGGCCAUCUGGGACAACACUGACGCUGAGGCACGAAAGCGUGGGGAGCAAACAGGAUUAGAUACCCCCGUAGUCCCUGUCUCUUAUAC
Molecule: ribosomal RNA, 301 nt
Filed under: uncultured bacterium
Lineage: Bacteria
Description: partial 16S ribosomal RNA
Rfam family: Bacterial small subunit ribosomal RNA
Source: RNAcentral